AGCAGUCGCCGCGGGAAUACGAAGGGUGCAAGCGUUACUCGGAAUUACUGGGCGUAAAGCGUGCGUAGGUGGUGGUUUAAGUCCGUUGUGAAAGCCCUGGGCUCAACCUGGGAAUUGCAGUGGAUACUGGGUCACUAGAGUGUGGUAGAGGAUAGUGGAAUUUCCGGUGUAGCAGUGAAAUGCGUAGAGAUCGGAAGGAACAUCUGUGGCGAAGGCGACUAUCUGGGCCAACACUGACACUGAGGCACGAAAGCGUGGGGAGCAAACAGGAUUAGAUACCCGCGUAGUCCCUGUCUCUUAUAC
Molecule: ribosomal RNA, 303 nt
Filed under: uncultured bacterium
Lineage: Bacteria
Description: partial 16S ribosomal RNA
Rfam family: Bacterial small subunit ribosomal RNA
Source: RNAcentral